GCUGAUGUUUGUGUACUGACUGAAUGUCAAUCUGUGUGUGUUUACAGUCUGGACCAUGGAGGAGAGACGAGGAUUACAGCAGGACCACGCAAAUAUGUCUGUUUCCUCACUCUGGAUCCAAACACAGCACACACUCAACUCAUUCUGUCUGAGGAGAACAGAGAGGUGAAGUGUGUGAGAGAGAAUCAGCCGUAUCCUGAUCAUCCAGACAGAUUUGAUGUUCAUCAGCAGGUGUUGUGCAGAGAGAGUGUGUGUGGACGCUGUUACUGGGAGAUUGACUGGAGUGGAGAUGAUGAUGUGUGUAUAUCAGUGUCAUAUAAGAGCAUCAGGAGGAAGGGAGGAGGUGCUAAGUGUUUGUUUGGAUAUAAUGCUCAGUCCUGGAGUUUGAGCUGCUCUUCCUCCAGAUUCAUAUUCAGACACAAUAACACAGACACUGCUCUCCCAGUAAAGCCCCUCAGCAGGAGAAUAGGAGUGUUUGUGGAUCACAGUGCAGGAACUCUGAUCUUCUACAACAUCUAUAGAGACACAAUGAGCCUCAUCCACUCAGUCCAGACCACAUUCACUGAGCCGCUCUGCCCUGGGUUUACUGUUUAUCCUGGAUCAUCAGUGAAACUGAGCUGAAGACUGACGAAUGAUUUACCCAGAAUCCUCUGCAGGAACAGUCAGCAGCAGUGUGCGUGUGUGAGAGAGAGUCUGUAUUUGUGUGUGUGUGUGUGUGUGUGUGUAUGUAUGUGUGUGUUUGAGAGAGAAAGUCUGUAUUUGUGUCUGUGUGUGUGUGUGCGCGUGCGUGUGUGAGAGCGCGUGCAUGUGUGUGUGUGUCCAUGUGCGUGUGUGAGAGUCUGUUUGUGUGUGUGUGCGUGUUUGCGUGCGUGCGUGUGCUUGUGUGUGCGUGUGUGCUUGUGUGCGUGUGUGUGUGCGUGUGUGUGUGUGUGUUUCUCAGUCUUCAUCAGUGUCAUCAUUGAUGUUGAUGAAGUGUCCUCCAGGAUGCUGCUGUGUUCAGAUCAGCUCAUUCUUGUCUACAGAUUGAUCUUCUUCAUUGUUUCUCUGUUGUUUGAGCACAAAUAAUAAAAGUCAAUGUCAAAUCCACUGCUGAUAUUAGAAUGUGAUGAUGAACAUGGAAAUGUCUGAAUCCUGUCUGAAUCUCUGUCAAAUCUUGAAUCAACUGUAGAGAAAUCCAGCAGCUCAAUGAAUAAAGGAGAAAUGAAGUGUGACGUUUGUUUCUGCUCUUCUGAUCUUCUUCUUCUUCAUGAUUUGACUUGAACUGAACAAUAAAAACACAUUUAUUCCAGUAUUUAUUGAUCUGUUCAUGUUAGUUGAUGACAGUAAAGUUGUUCUCUGUUAGUUCUUGUUGACUCUCAGUGCAUUAACUGAUGUUCACCAGCACAACUGUGGAUUAAUAAUGCUUCAGUAAAUGUCUGAUCACUCUCAUUCAUUACGAG
Danio rerio (zebrafish) is the source of this 1439-nucleotide non-coding RNA. The record is from Ensembl. Lineage: Eukaryota; Metazoa; Chordata; Actinopteri; Cypriniformes; Danionidae.